RNAcentral lists this long non-coding RNA (375 nucleotides) under Nothobranchius furzeri (turquoise killifish). Its description in RNAcentral is "lncRNA (ENSNFUG00015012473.1)". The record is from RNAcentral. Lineage: Eukaryota; Metazoa; Chordata; Actinopteri; Cyprinodontiformes; Nothobranchiidae.
AUGCUAGUAAAAAAUAAUUUAGCCAGCUUGCUAAUGUUACUUUUCUUCUCCUCUAAGGAACACAGAACGUUCAGAUGUUGGCGCUUCACCUCACUUACUGAGGAAGGAGACCCACCAGUAAAGAGAAGGUCUGGACCAGACCAAAAAUAUGGCGAUGACAUCAUGGAACUGGUCUUUGGAAAAGUUUUCCCUGAACCAACUCCGUUUCUAGAUGAGGACCAGUUUGAAGCCCACAUACUGCCCCUCCCUCAUCAUCAGGAAACAUCAAUCCGUAUCCUGAGGACAACAGAAGACGGCAGGAGGACAGGAACUCUGAGACCUAGACACCACCAGCACCGAGACACAAAGCACCUGUGUGCACAACGCCUGUUUUAA